RNAcentral lists this ribosomal RNA (495 nucleotides) under uncultured bacterium. Its description in RNAcentral is "partial 16S ribosomal RNA". It matches the Rfam family "Bacterial small subunit ribosomal RNA", at positions 28 to 507 of the family's 1533-position model. The record is from RNAcentral.
GACGAACGCUGGCGGCGUGCCUAAUACAUGCAAGUAGAACGCUGAAGGAGGAGCUUGCUUCUCCGGAUGAGUUGCGAACGGGUGAGUAACGCGUAGGUAACCUGCCUGGUAGCGGGGGAUAACUAUUGGAAACGAUAGCUAAUACCGCAUAAGAGUAGAUGUCGCAUGACAUUUGCUUAAAAGGUGCAACUGCACCACUACCAGAUGGACCUGCGUUGUAUUAGCUAGUUGGUGAGGUAACGGCUCACCAAGGCAACGAUACAUAGCCGACCUGAGAGGGUGAUCGGCCACACUGGGACUGAGACACGGCCCAGACUCCUACGGGAGGCAGCAGUAGGGAAUCUUCGGCAAUGGACGGAAGUCUGACCGAGCAACGCCGCGUGAGUGAAGAAGGUUUUCGGAUCGUAAAGCUCUGUUGUAAGAGAAGAACGAGUGUGAGAGUGGAAAGUUCACACUGUGACGGUAUCUUACCAGAAAGGGGCGGCUAACUACGUG